RNAcentral lists this ribosomal RNA (120 nucleotides) under Amaurobioides chilensis. RNAcentral describes it as "partial 16S ribosomal RNA". Lineage: Eukaryota; Metazoa; Arthropoda; Arachnida; Araneae; Anyphaenidae. The record is from RNAcentral.
GUAGCAUAAUCAUUUGUCUUUUAAUUAAAGACUAGAACAAAAGAUUGAACAUUUUAAUUAAUAUAUUUAAAUUAAUUAAUUAAAUUUAUUUUAAAUGUAAAAAAACAUUUAUAAAUUAGA